CCUACGGGAGGCUGCAGUGAGGAAUAUUGGUCAAUGGGCGCGAGCCUGAACCAGCCAAGUAGCAUGAAGGAUGACUGCCCUACGGGUUGUAAACUUCUUUUAUAAAGGAAUAAAGUGAGGCACGUGUGCCUUUUUGUAUGUACUUUAUGAAUAAGGAUCGGCUAACUCCGUGCCAGCAGCCGCGGUACUACGGAGGAUCCGAGCGUUAUACGGAUUUAUUGGGUUUAAAGGGAGCGUAGAUGGGUUGUUAAGUCAGUUUGGAAAGUUUUGGGCGCAACCGUAAAAUUGCAAUUGGUACUGGCAGUCUUGAGUACGGUUGAGGUAGGCGGAAUUCGUGGUGUAGCGGUGAAAUGCUUAGAUAUCACGAAGAACUCCGAUUGCGAAGGCAGCUUACGAAACUGCCACUGACAUUGAUGCUCGAAAGUGUGGGUAUCAAACAGGAUUAGAUACCCUGGUAGUC
Molecule: ribosomal RNA, 460 nt
Filed under: uncultured bacterium
Lineage: Bacteria
Description: partial 16S ribosomal RNA
Rfam family: Bacterial small subunit ribosomal RNA
Source: RNAcentral